GCGUGAGGGAUGACGGCCUUCGGGUUGUAAACCUCUUUCAGUAGGGAAGAAGCGAAAGUGACGGUACCUGCAGAAGAAGCGCCGGCUAACUACGUGCCAGCAGCCGCGGUAAUACGUAGGGCGCAAGCGUUAUCCGGAAUUAUUGGGCGUAAAGAGCUCGUAGGCGGUUUGUCGCGUCUGCCGUGAAAGUCCGGGGCUCAACUCCGGAUCUGCGGUGGGUACGGGCAGACUAGAGUGAUGUAGGGGAGACUGGAAUUCCUGGUGUAGCGGUGAAAUGCGCAGAUAUCAGGAGGAACACCGAUGGCGAAGGCAGGUCUCUGGGCAUUAACUGACGCUGAGGAGCGAAAGCAUGGGGAGCGAACAGGAUUAGAUACCCUGGU
This 380-nucleotide ribosomal RNA is filed under the name Arthrobacter sp. 8.25ST-VSa. RNAcentral's name for it is "bacterial SSU rRNA". It matches the Rfam family "Bacterial small subunit ribosomal RNA", at positions 399 to 791 of the family's 1533-position model. The record is from RNAcentral. Lineage: Bacteria; Bacillati; Actinomycetota; Actinomycetes; Micrococcales; Micrococcaceae.